RNAcentral lists this ribosomal RNA (408 nucleotides) under uncultured bacterium. Its description in RNAcentral is "partial 16S ribosomal RNA". It matches the Rfam family "Bacterial small subunit ribosomal RNA", at positions 28 to 526 of the family's 1533-position model. The record is from RNAcentral.
GACGAACGCUGGCGGCGUGCUUAACACAUGCAAGUCGAACGAAGUGGCGAACGGGUGAGUAACGCGUAAUCAAACUGCCCUUCAGAGGGGGAUAACAGUUGGAAACGACUGCUAAUACAGCAUACAGAAGGGAGGGAGUGAGUCUGAUGAGCUAGUUGAAUGGGUAACGGCCCACCAAGGCGAUGAUCAGGAGCCGGUCUGAGAGGAUGAACGGCCACCUUGGGACUUAGACACGGCCCAGACUCCUACGGUAGUCAGCAGUGGGGAAGCUUCCGAAAUGGACGAAAGUCUGACGGAGCAACGCCGCGUGAGUGAUGACGGCCUUCGGGUUGUAAAGCUCUGUUAAUCGGGACGCGGUACCGGAAUAGAAAGCCACGGCUAACUACGUGCCAGCAGCCGCGGUAAUUC